Molecule: long non-coding RNA, 2210 nt
Filed under: Triticum aestivum (bread wheat)
Lineage: Eukaryota; Viridiplantae; Streptophyta; Magnoliopsida; Poales; Poaceae
Description: long non-coding RNA (TAES_LNC022424)
Source: RNAcentral
AUAUGCAGGUUAGAGGCAUUGGUGUGAGGGCGUUGUGGUGACGUGCUCCUCCAUGCCUCGUGCGAGUUCUUGGUGUCGCGAUCAUGUCUCCAGAGAGCAGCGCUUCAAGGUCACUUAAGCUUGAAUGGGUUAUCAAGUCUACUGGAACCAUUCAUGUUUAGGCUUGUUCAUUGGUUUUAGGACAGACACUCCCUUAAGUAUGUUUAAUCACAAUUAAAAGGAGGAAGCCAAAUUAUUGCAAUGUAAGUGCCUGAACUCGGAGGCUUGAUCCACUAUCACUUGCUCCUGCCACUGUGUCAUAAUAUCUCAUUUUCAUAUAUAAGAUGAUAGUAACGGAAUGAUCAUAUUAGGAGUGCAUUAUUGGCAGCCUUGUGAGGUUUUCUUCAUAACUUCUUCUCCUGUUUUUAAUGUUUGUAUUCUCUUUGUUGCAAGGUGUGGCUUCAGGUAAAGUUGUCAAGAUGAUCUGGUGCUUGUUUGAGUCGUUGAUUACUGCUGCUUUGCUAAGGUUCAACGUCUUACUACAUGAGAAAUUUAUUCCAAUGCUUUCUCAAUCCCUUUACCAUGAUGACUACGAGAGGAACCUUCAAUGUGUAUAGAUGGUGAUGGAUAUGGGGACACACAAGAACUAGCGAACUUAAUACCAGAUGCCCUCAACUAUGAAUUCUUUAAUUAUUGGAGGCUUUCAUAUUCAUAUCAAUACAAGGUGGGAUAUGAUGCAGGUGAAUGCCUUUAUUUUGUUUCUUUAUGAUCUUCUCCUCUACUUAAUGAUAGAUGCAGUGCAUAGGGUCAUCGUGUCAGUUUGAAUGCUUUCAUGAUAAUUGGUAUAGCACUGAAUCAGGCAAGGUGUGAAUAAGUGUGCUUAAAUGCGUGCUUUGUUUAUGUGUUUACUGCUUAUUAUGUCGUACAAGUUGCCACUUUUGAAUCUGCCUCUUUUAGGCACGUGUCUUUCCCACAUAUAUGUUGGUAAAUGUGUGCACUACAUAUUUUUCUGGCCAACUAGAUUACGAGAUCCUCCUCCAUCUUCCCCUUCUCACUAAGGAUGCCAGAUUGAUCUAGCAUCUUUCCCCCUAUUUAGGGGUCCUCCCUUGGCCCCUCCUCUACUCGGCUGUCCUUUGCCAUGUUUCUCCUCUAUAAAAAACACGAAAACUACCACGAGAAUUAAUUGCUGCUUGCUGCUCUUCACAGCUAAAUAUCACAAUGAAUUAUAUCAAUUGCCAUCGUCCUAGAAGAAGAGAUGAGCAGUCAAUAUACAGAGAAAAAAAUCACGACCAAUAUUUGCAUGAAUACUAAUUCUCGCAACAAUUUAAUGAUUCAUAAAUAAUCUCCCGUUUCCUCUAACCCGUGUAUGUCUUUCCAUAUUAAUUCAUAAAAAUGAAUCAACACAGUUCAUAUUUGAUUUCAACACAACGAAAUUCAAAAAGAGGUGAAUCAAAUGUUAUUAUUUCAAAGUUGUAUAACAUAUAUCAUCACUACUAGAAAACAUUUUGUACGAGGCUAAGGUGCGAACAUUUAUAAAAUGAUAAUUGUACCCUUUUUGGGAUUUUGCGAUUCCUAUGGAAUUAAGAGGUCAUCUAUUGGCCUAUCCCUAUUUGUAAUUUCAAAUAGUUAUUUUUUGGUGCACUUCUAUUUUAGAAAUGAAUCAAUUGCCAAUUAUGCUUGAUGUUUCAAGCAGAACUAUAAUUGGUAAACAACUAUCUGUGAAGCAUAUAUGGAGGCGGGAGUCUGCUUUGGUUUUUUGCUAUGUGCCUAUUUGCUUAAGAAAAUACUUGACUGGAGAGCAGAUUCCAAAUGGAGCUGCAUUUUCAUGCGUUGGGGGCAGAAGAAGAAUAAAUAGUAAAUCCUUAUCUUAUGGAGUGAUGAUUUACAUUCUUUGUGUGAUGAGAUAAUACACAACCUAGUUGUUAUUUAGCUUGCUGCUGUUGAACAACUGACUAUCAUGAUGUGUAGUUUCUGAAUAUUGAGUCCUCGAGUUUUGGGGAAUGGUGCGCUCUAUUUUGGAAGUGGUAUUUCCUAAUGUAUUCGCACAGUUAGAUAUCAUAUUAUAUAUUUUUUCUCUUACUUGAAAUUUCUGCCAUGUAAAGCUAGGUUGUCUUUGAUUUGUUGUGUGUUAGGUAUUGAACAGACUGCCUGGUUUGGCUAACCUUCCUUUCCUUUUAUUUUGCAGGCUUUAGAAUCACUAAGGUUGCUCCUUCUCUGUUCCUUUGGUCAAG